RNAcentral lists this ribosomal RNA (521 nucleotides) under uncultured bacterium. RNAcentral's name for it is "bacterial SSU rRNA". It matches the Rfam family "Bacterial small subunit ribosomal RNA", at positions 988 to 1509 of the family's 1533-position model. The record is from RNAcentral.
CCAGAGAACUUUCCAGAGAUGGAUUGGUGCCUUCGGGAACUCUGAGACAGGUGCUGCAUGGCUGUCGUCAGCUCGUGUUGUGAAAUGUUGGGUUAAGUCCCGCAACGAGCGCAACCCUUAUCCUUUGUUGCCAGCGGUUAGGCCGGGAACUCAAAGGAGACUGCCAGUGAUAAACUGGAGGAAGGUGGGGAUGACGUCAAGUCAUCAUGGCCCUUACGAGUAGGGCUACACACGUGCUACAAUGGCGCAUACAAAGAGAAGCGACCUCGCGAGAGCAAGCGGACCUCAUAAAGUGCGUCGUAGUCCGGAUUGGAGUCUGCAACUCGACUCCAUGAAGUCGGAAUCGCUAGUAAUCGUGGAUCAGAAUGCCACGGUGAAUACGUUCCCGGGCCUUGUACACACCGCCCGUCACACCAUGGGAGCGGGUUGCAAAAGAAGUAGGUAGCUUAACCUUCGGGAGGGCGCUUACCACUUUGUGAUUCAUGACUGGGGUGAAGUCGUAACAAGGUAGGCGUAGAUGA